GACGAACGCUGGCGGCGUGCUUAACACAUGCAAGUCGAACGGUGAAGCUCCAGCUUGCUGGAGUGGAUCAGUGGCGAACGGGUGAGUAACACGUGAGCAACCUGCCCCUGACUCUGGAAUAAGCGCUGGAAACGGCGUCUAAUACUGGAUACGAGAAGGGUCCGCAUGGGCACUUUCUGGAAAGUUUUUCGGUUGGGGAUGGGCUCGCGGCCUAUCAGCUUGUUGGUGAGGUAAUGGCUCACCAAGGCGACGACGGGUAGCCGGCCUGAGAGGGCGACCGGCCACACUGGGACUGAGACACGGCUCAGACUCCUACGGGAGGCAGCAGUGGGGAAUAUUGCACAAUGGGCGAAAGCCUGAUGCAGCGACGCCGCGUGAGGGAUGACGGCCUUCGGGUUGUAAACCUCUUUCAGCAGGGAAGAAGCGAAAGUGACGGUACCUGCAGAAGAAGCACCGGCUAACUACGUG
This 468-nucleotide ribosomal RNA is filed under the name uncultured bacterium. RNAcentral's name for it is "partial 16S ribosomal RNA". It matches the Rfam family "Bacterial small subunit ribosomal RNA", at positions 28 to 507 of the family's 1533-position model. The record is from RNAcentral.